GAAAAAGAAAAACGAAUGGCAAGGCAUGCGAGUCGACGGUCGAGAUCUUCAGUGAAUGCAUGCUCAGGAAACAUGUGUGGACAGCACAACACGUGAUCCGGAGUUUGCAGGCGAACCAAGGCAGUAGUUCUCAGCUCUCUCCUCUUCUCGCCCUUGUCACAGCAAAACCUUAAACCCUACUCUCUCUCUCUCUCUCUCUCUCUCUCUCUCUCUCAAUCUCAAUCCCAAACCCUAAAUUUAGCAAGCAUGCGAAUAAAAAUUUUUGUCCAGUAACCAAAAGGUCCAAAACCCAUUAGCCUAUUUCGCUUUUUCUGUCAAUGUUAACUACUAUUUCAAGGAUGAAGUCCCUUAUAUCCCCACCAUUUUCAUCCAUUCCCAAGGUUACACCUUCCCUCUUCUUCUCUUUACCCUCUAAUUCCAAAUUUCUCUCGUUUCCCACUACUCUUACCAGUCCCAUUUCUCUCCCCCUUAAACCUCCUCCUAUGCUUUCAAUUUUUCCUAUUCAAAAUCGAUGUCUCCACUCCAAUUCUUCCCCCUCUUCCUCCUCCGGCGAGAUUCACGUUAUAGUUGGGCCCAUGUUCGCUGGAAAAACCACAACGCUUCUCCGUCGUAUGCAGUCUGAAAGCAGCGAUGGCAGCUUUCAGGUCACAAGUGUACGUCAAUUGGAUAAAACCUUAAAAGAUCUUUCUUUUUCUGGGAGAACGAGUGAAGCUGUGAGACUGUUAUGGCACACAGGGUUCAAAGUGGAACAUGGUACCUAUGCUCUUCUGUUGCAAGAAUGCAUAUUUGGAAAACAGUAUAAGAAGGGGAAAAGAAUCCAUGCACAUAUGGUUAUUGUAGGGUAUGUUGCCAGUGAAUAUCUGAAGACUAAGUUGUUGAUAUUGUAUGCAAAAUCUGGGGAUCUAAAGACUGCACGUGUGCUGUUUAAUAUGGUGGGGGGGAAAAACUUGAUUUCUUGGAAUGCAGUAAUAGCUGGAUAUGUGCAAAAGAGACAUGAAGAGAUAGGUCUUACUUUUUAUUACAAAAUGAGACAAAAUGGUUUGACACCAGACCAGUAUACAUUUGCAUCUGUGUUUAGAGCUUGUGCUGCUUUAGCAACACUGGAACAUGGUAAGAAAGCCCAUGGUAUUAUGAUAAAGUGUAACCUAAGUGAAAAUGUUGUAGUCAAUAGUGCUCUCAUAGAUAUGUACUUCAAAUGCAGCAAUCUCUCUGAUGGGCAUAAGGUCUUUAGUAAAUCAUUAAACAGGAAUGUUGUUACCUGGACUUCAUUAAUAUCUGGGUAUGGCCAGCAUGGAAGAGUUACAGAGGUUUUAGAAUCAUUUCAUAGGAUGAAAGAUGAAGGUUUCAGACCAAAUUAUGUUACUUUUCUAGCAGUGCUUUCCGCUUGUAGUCAUGGAGGUUUGAUUGAUGAAGCUUGGGAUUAUUUCUUAUCAAUGAAGAGAGAUUAUGGAAUCCAGCCUAGAGGGCAACACUAUGCAGCAAUGGUCGAUCUUUUAGGUCGUGCUGGCAUGUUGCAAGAGGCUUAUGAGUUUGUUUUGGAGGCACCUUGUAAAGAACACUCAGUUGUAUGGGGUGCUUUGCUUGGGGCUUCUAGAAUUCAUGGAGACAUGGACCUGGUAAAUCAUGCAGCCAAGCAAUACUUCAAAUUGGAUCCACAAAAUGCUGGAAAGUAUGUGGUCUUGUCCAAUACUUAUGCCACAUUUGGGUUCUGGGAUGAUGUUGCAAAGGUUAGGAGUAUGAUGAGAGAUUCAGGAAUAAUGAAGGAGCCUGCUUAUAGUAGGAUUGAAGUUCAAGGGGAGAUCCACUGCUUCUUAAUGGGUGAUAAAUCUCAUAGAAAAUAUAAGGAAAUAUGUAGUACAAUUAUCAAAAUGAUGUGCACUUUAAGAGAUGCUGGCUAUGUUCCUGACAUAAGUGAAUUAAUUCAUUUAGAAGAUUGAUAUGCUUUACAUUUUCAAUCCAAAAUAUAGCAUUGUUAUUGGCUGAGCUUCUCAUUGGAUUUCAAGGCUUAGGCUGAUGAUAAUUUGAGAAACGUGGCUGUUAUAAAAUCGAACAGGGAUACAAGAUAUGGUCUUGAUUCAAUAGUGACACAUGAUGGAGUGAAACUGCCAUGUGUGGCCCUGCCUAGUUUGUCAUUGUUUAGACAAAAAUUUGGCUUUGAUGCAUAUGAACAGCUGCAGAUCAUGAUGGGAAAACUUUGAUAGUUGCUGGUCUGGAUGGUGACUAUUUGAGGAGGAGUUUUGGUUCUGUGCUUGAUAUAAUUCCCCUGGCUGAUUCCGUAACUAAGCUAACUGCACGGUGUGAAGUUUGUGGAAAACGGGCUUUCUUUACCAUGAGAAAGACAGAGGAGACAAGGAUAGAACUUAUUGGUGGGGCUGAUGUCUACAUGCCUGUAUGUCG
Molecule: RNA transcript, 2397 nt
Organism: Manihot esculenta (cassava)
Lineage: Eukaryota; Viridiplantae; Streptophyta; Magnoliopsida; Malpighiales; Euphorbiaceae
Gene name: thymidine kinase a
Exons: 5
Source: RefSeq, a predicted model, not a curated record